Molecule: ribosomal RNA, 429 nt
Filed under: Actinomycetes bacterium
Lineage: Bacteria; Bacillati; Actinomycetota; Actinomycetes
Description: Actinobacteria bacterium partial 16S ribosomal RNA
Rfam family: Bacterial small subunit ribosomal RNA
Source: RNAcentral
UAGGGAAUCUUCCGCAAUGGGCGAAAGCCUGACGGAGCAACGCCGCGUGAGUGAUGAAGGUCUUCGGAUCGUAAAACUCUGUUAUUAGGGAAGAACAAAUGUGUAAGUAACUAUGCACGUCUUGACGGUACCUAAUCAGAAAGCCACGGCUAACUACGUGCCAGCAGCCGCGGUAAUACGUAGGUGGCAAGCGUUAUCCGGAAUUAUUGGGCGUAAAGCGCGCGUAGGCGGUUUUCUAAGUCUGAUGUGAAAGCCCACGGCUCAACCGUGGAGGGUCAUUGGAAACUGGAAAACUUGAGUGCAGAAGAGGAAAGUGGAAUUCCAUGUGUAGCGGUGAAAUGCGCAGAGAUAUGGAGGAACACCAGUGGCGAAGGCGACUUUCUGGUCUGUAACUGACGCUGAUGUGCGAAAGCGUGGGGAUCAAACAGG